Molecule: long non-coding RNA, 5023 nt
Filed under: Triticum aestivum (bread wheat)
Lineage: Eukaryota; Viridiplantae; Streptophyta; Magnoliopsida; Poales; Poaceae
Description: long non-coding RNA (TAES_LNC012807)
Source: RNAcentral
AAGUUCUACUACAUUAUGUACAUUACACUAGGACAGGGCACAUGCUAUGGCCUAUGGUGAUUAAGCACCAACCAAACCUUACUUACCAGUCUUACCAAUACCACAGUAUCUAGAGACGAUAAAGAUCACAUAUGGCGGUCUGCACCCCCAGUACACAUAUGACAUAACCCUUAAUUUCGUUCACGAUUUGCUGCUGCUCGUUGAUGGUUGGCCUUGCAGUUUGUGCGUGAAGAAACAGGAAGGUACGUUAUUAGGCCGAGUGGGUUGGGGCUGCUGACGACGCUCGUUGGGAGGUCCUUAUAUUGUAUCGCUCGUAAACCUUCUCGCGGUUCUCUUUCCACCAAUUCUCAGCCUGAUGCUCCCCAAAGCGCCUUUUGCUGCAAAUUAGAAAUAUUUCAAAGAAGGGAGGAUGUCAACGCUAUUAAUAUUUUGCAAUGAAAUAUAGGCUUGUCACUUGUCAGUAGAGCAGAAGCUCAGCUACAGACCGAAACAGAAGUGUGAGACAGUGUUUAAUGUGAACAAGAUAACCUGGAGUUCUCCUUUUCCGUAGUGUUUAAUGUGGAAAAAAAAAGUGCUCUAAAUAUGAUUAUAAACUAAAUGAACUGUCAGACCUCUUGUUGCAUAUGAACUCGCGGGACGGUAAAAUAUUGUCCAAUGACUAAUCAAGCAACUAGCAUAUUGCAAUCAUGAAUAUUCAGUGAGUUGUUUGCAUGUGCAAAUUACAAAGCUAACUUGGGGGUAGAAAGCAUGACAGGAAAUAGCUUAAUCACCUGAACCGAACCCUCUUCAGCUCUCGGGUGCCGUCACCGAGGUCCUUCAGCUUCAUGAAAACACCUGCUUCAUACUCUUCCAGCCAUUCAUCAUGCAAGCGCCUGGCAGCGCCGUUGCCGUUCACGCUAGAGUGGGCAGCAACACGUGGCUCGGCGCCGCUUGGAGCAUGCAUUGUUCCAUCCAUACUGCCUGUACUGCUAACUGAUGAUGGAACAAGGCUAUCAAGGCUAGCUAUUGUAGGAAACUUAAUUUGCUGGACAAGGAAAAAAAAUCUGAAAUUAAGCAGAGCAUCACAUCUACAACAUUAUCUUGGCCCGAUCUGAACAUAUGAAGGCCCAAUUUUGUGCAAUCAAUUGGCCCGAUCGACUUGAGACAAUUCAAUCCGGGAAGAUUGCGCUGUCCGUCACCGACGAGCAAGAAUCGCCGACGCGAAACAGACAGAAAUGGUAUACCUUGAGAUGUCGCUGCUGCUGCUCCUCCGCCGAGCUCAGCUGCUCCCGAUCUGGGACAAGGAGGAGACGAGAGGGCGCGGCAGCGCCGGAUCAGAGGUGGGGGGGAGCCGGUGGCUCUGGCGGUGGCGCCGCCGGCGGGUGGGGCGAGAGGGGAUCGAGCGAGGGUUUGGAUGGGUUUUGAUUGGAUAGGGAGGAAAUUUACAGAAAGCCACCGCAUUUGCUAGGUUGUCAAAUAACCACCGUUUUCAUCAAAAAAAAGUUGAGAGGCGUUUUUAACAUUUUUUAUCAAACCCAUCACUCCAGGAUAGUAUUGUACUCUCAAUAUAUGAUCUUUUAGAUCACUACUAUUAUUUUAGCUGGACAUUUAGAGUUCCAGACAGCCUGCCCCAAACUUGUUUAGGACUAAAGGCUUUGUUGUUGUUGUUGUUGUUGUUGUUGUUGUUGGACAUUUAGAAUUUCAAACGACACAAGGGGUGGAAUUUUAACUCGAAACUCAUGAGCUAAACGAGUAGCUCGUGACUCGGCUCGAACUCGAUGACUAACGAGUCGAGACGAAUUUUAAUCUGAGCUGGUUAACAAAAUAAGUUUAACAAGCCGAGCUAACCAGGUAAUCGUUUAGCCCAUUAAUUAUGCUCGUUAAUCAGAAGGGACGUGAGAUAAGUAUCAAUAUAGUUGUAGAUUACUGUCAUUUAUGGCGUGUACAAAGUGUUUCUUUAGUGUAAAUUGUUGGUUGUUGUGAAUUGUGAAGAAAGUUCUAUGUCUAUAAAUAUAUUCUUGUAGAUUAGUUGCAUACAUAAUAUGUAUAUUUUGUUAUUCAUGUCCUUACAUGAGUCGAGUUGAGUUUAAAUCUAAGUUCAUCAUGUUAACGAGUCGAGCUGAGCUAACUCGUUAUCUUAACGAGGUCUAACGAGUCGAGCCCACCCCUAGAUGACGCUUUUAAACAUUUUUUCUUCGGUUUGAUUCUUCGGUUGGUAAUUAAUUAUCAACUUUCUCCCUACGGAAAAAAUAGUUAUCAACUUCCAACGUGAACCUUCUUAGAAUUUUAUUGUAGGAUUUUUCAAGUGCAGCGUUUUGAUGCUCAGCCUACAUGGAGACAAUUAUUUGAAACAUUUGAAAUACACGUUUCAAAGUUUCAAAAAAAUUCCGUUGCUCAAAAAAAAGUUUCGAAAAAUUCUGAAAAAGAUGUGCAUUGACAUAGGCAUGCGUACUACACCUGUGUAAAGUUUCAUGAGAAAAUACAUUGAUUCAUGAACUACAUCUAUACCUACCUAAUAAUAAAGAGUUAUUGCUUGUGGCGGUACGUCACCGAAAUUGCCCCCAAAGUUACAAAAUAUUACCCAACGCUGCCAUCUAUAAGUGAUAAAAAAAACAUUUCACACAAGGGAAUCACUGCGCUCUGUGCGCUGGGACAAGACACAAUGUGCCUGUUUGGGCCGAACCAUGUCCGGGCGGCCUGUUUUCUAAAUUUUGCUUUCCUUUUCCGUAUUCAUUUUUUCUACUUCAAAUAAUUUGGGCUUAAAAAGAGUUUCCAAAAUUAAGAAAAAACUGUGAAUUUUGAAAUAAUCUUUUAAUAAUUCAUAAAUAUUUUUUGAUUCAGACAAUGUUCGUGAUUUAUAAAAAAUGUUCACAUAUACAAAAAGUUUUCGCAAUUUUGAAAACAAAUGUUUGGGAAAUCCAAAAAUAUUUAUGAUUUUAUUGAAAGUUCGUGUAUUAAAAAAUGUUUAUGAAAUUGAAAAAAUUUCGCCAAUUCAAAAAAUGUUCAUGAAUUGAAAAUUAUCCUGAAAAUUAAAAAACUGUUCAUGGCUUACAAAAUAGUUUAUUGGUUCAUAAAAUGUUCGCAUAUUCAAAAUUGAUCACGCGUUUUGAAAAAUGGCCGUUAAAUCAAAAAAAUCGUGAAUUUCAAUAAUUGUCCCACCAAUUUGCAAAAACAAAUGUUCGAUGAUUCUAGAAAUGUUUCCCUAUUCAGGAAAAAUGUUUUUUCAAAUGUUCAGAAUUUUAAAAUAAUGUUUGAAAAUUGUACAAAAUGUCCAUGAAUUUAUUUUUUUCAUGAUUUUAGAAAAUGUGCGAAAAUCUGUAAAGAUGUUCAUAAAUUUAAAAAAAAUCACGAGUUUAGUUUAUUUCAUGAUUUUUAAAAAUUGUUCACAAUUUUACGAAAAUGGACUGAUAGUGUAUCUCGGUCAUGCAGCAAAAUAUGGUCAUGGCCAUUGGAAAUUAUGUUUUUUUUUCUCCCGUUGCAACACACGGGCCGUUUUGCUAGUAAAAAAGUGAAAACCAAUUGUUUUAUAUUGUGAACAGUCCAUGCAUUGUUCACUGUUUUCCGUGUCAGAGAUUUAUCUUUUUUCUUUAGCUAACGAACCAAUGUAUUUCGUCAUGAAUUGCAAGCAUGCAGUAUACAUCCGGAUUAUACCAUGCUCGGGCUCCAAAACGAAUUAUAUCGCCCCUUUUUUCUAAGAAAGAAAGAAAGGUUAACCCGCCAUCUGCAUUUUUUUAAGAUGAACCUGGCCUCUGCAUCGUGAGAUGGGCACAUCCAUGUAUUGCUUUUUUUAGAAGAGAGAAUGGAAGAAAAGGAGAAUUGUCUUGGUGAAAAGAUGAUCUCUCAGCAUGUCGGAGAAGAAUUUUUCCUCCAUUACAAUAGAUGUCACAACUAAAUAUUCUUUGCUAGAGAUAAUGCCCUUAGAUAAUUCAUUUUAUAGCACGCUUCUUACCGUGAAAAAGCUCAUAGAUCCUAGCCUCCAAAGGUUUUUGAAACCAACAUAUCUAAGUUUAUAAUUUCCUAAAAGAAAUUCUUCAUGUGCACAUAGUUGUGAACUACCUGUUUGUAAACUUCAAUAAAACAAUAUAUUCAUUUGUACACUAUAAAGACAGAUAUGUGGAUAUAAAAUAGUCUAAUAUUCUUUUUUGAGGAAAAAUAGUCUACUAUAUUUAUCCGACUAAGCCCGCAAGUCAAACUAUUUAUCCGUGGCAUAUAGAGCACAUAGAUACUACUAUAUUUAUCCGACUAAAAAAACUAUAUUCAACCUCAAUUUUUUUAAUAAUGUUUGAAAUUAUAAGUAAGACGUCUUAUUUAUUUACAAAUACCAGACUCGCUAUAGCCUAAGGGCAGAAUGUAUGUUCUCAUUUCUAUUACCACCUCUAAUCAUAUGGAAGGCUAAAGAUAACAUUGAGAAAUUAUCAUGGCAACUGAUUGUGUGUAGCACCUUAAGAGGCUGUCUAGAAUGACUUUAAAAUUAGUGUGGUCACUUGCAACCACUCGAAUGAGGCCUAAUUUGUGGAAGAUAUAUAUCCAAGUACAAUUGCAGGACACAAGUUCUUAUGUAAAAAAUAAUCAUACUGAGGAAAAGGAUAAAAAAACUGGAAGAGAAAAAACCCUUCACCUAGCUACAAUGGCUAGUGUGAUCUAUAACAUGGUAAAGGUACCAUGCCCUAUUUGUUUGAUCAUGUCCAUGUAUGUACAUUACACUGGGAUAGGGCCCAUGCUACAGCCUCAGGCGAUUCAACACCAACCAAAAACUUGACUUAUCAUCCUAUCCAUAUUACAGUAUGAAAAGACGAUAAAAAUUGCAGUGGCGAUCGCAUAUGGCGCUCUCAAGCCCGGUAUGUAUGACCACAGUUUUGUUGAUAAUUUGCUGUUGUUGGUCUAUCUUGCAGUUUGUGUGUGAAGAAACAGGUGCCGGCGUGCAACAGGUCAUCCACAGGUAAGCUAAUAGGCCGACCGGGUCGAGGCUGCUGACGAGACCCGUUCGGAGCUCCUCACGUUGUAUUUCUCGUACACUUUCUCGCGGUUCUCGUUCCACCAAUUU